AACGCACAUUGCACCCUUUGGUAUUCCGAGGGGUAUGCCUGUCUGAGUGUUUUAAUUAUUACGAGUUGUCACUAUUUAGUGAUAAUGAGUGUGUUGACGGUAAUUACCACCGUCUAAAUUGAUAUUGACAAUUUUAAUAAUCAUUGUCCAUCAUCACAAACAUAAUAACCUCAGAUGGGUAGGACUACGCGCUGAACUUAA
RNAcentral lists this unclassified non-coding RNA (201 nucleotides) under Acanthocorticium sp. RNAcentral describes it as "partial contains 5.8S ribosomal RNA, internal transcribed spacer 2, and large subunit ribosomal RNA". The stretch from base 1 to 52 matches the Rfam family "5.8S ribosomal RNA", at positions 103 to 154 of the family's 154-position model. RNAcentral also lists the same sequence under 2 other names. Lineage: Eukaryota; Fungi; Basidiomycota; Agaricomycetes; Agaricales. The record is from RNAcentral.